UUUUGUGUAUUAAAACAAUGGUUUCUGUUAGUUAGCUGCUCGAAACAGCGAACAUAUAUACAUAACAACCAACAUAUAACAAAAACCCACUGAGUGCAUAAAUGCGUGUAUACACGGAACAAGCUAAACUGCACUAAGAUCAUAUAAUAGCAUAACAUACAAAAAAUGACAAAGAAAAGAUAGGAUAGAUACAACAAGUAGCAGCACCUACAAAAGCACGCUGCAACAUGGCAUUUUAUUUAAACACUACAAUAAUUGUUAAUAGCCACUUCCUCAGUUGAUAGCUGCUGGUGGGAUGUGUGGAGGGUCAGGCUUUGGUUUGGGCUCGGGCUUAGGUUCUGGCUGUGGUUUUGGUUCGGGCUUAGGUUCUGGUUUUGGUUGGGGCUCUGGUUUUGGUUCGGGUUUAGGCUCUGGUUUUGGAUCAGGCUUAGGCUCUGGCUUUGGUUGUGGCUCCGGUUCUGGUUUCGGUUUUGGUUCAGGUUUAGGCUCUGGCUUUGGUUCUGGUUCUGGUCUUGGUUCGGGUUUAGGCUCAGGCUUUGGCUCUGGUUUUGGUUCGGGCUUAGGCUCUGGCUUUGGCUCUGGUUUUGGUUCUGGCUUAGGCUCUGGCUUUGGUUGUGGCUCUGGCUUUGGAUCUGGUUUCGGUUUCGGCUCAGGCUUUGGCUCUGGCUUAGGUUCUGGCCUUGGUUCGGGUUUAGGCUCAGGCUUUGGCUCUGGUUUUGGUUCGGGCUUAGGCUCUGGCUUUGGCUCUGGUUUUGGUUCUGGUUUAGGCUCAGGCUUUGGUUGUGGCUCUGGCUUUGGUUCUGGUUUCGGCUCAGGCUUAGGCUCUGGCUUAGGUUGGGGCUCUGGCUUUGGCUCCGGUUUCGGUUCGGGUUUAGGCUCUGGCUUAGGCUCUGGUUUUGGUUGUGGCUCUGGCUUUGGCUCUGGUUUCGGUUUGGGUUUAGGCUCUGGCUUUGGCUCAGGUUUAUGCUCUGGCUUAGGCUCUGGUUUUGGUUCAGGUUUUGGCUUUGGUUUUAUUUUAGGUUCGGGCUUAGGCUCUGGCUUAGGUUCGGGCUUAGGUUCAGGCUUCGGUGUAGGCAAUGGCUCUGGUUUGGAUUUUGGUUGAGGCUUGGGCAUUGGUUGAGGUUCAGGGUUGGGCUUUGGUUGAGGUUCAGGCUUUGGCUCUGGAUGUGGCAUAGGUUUCGGUUUAGGUUCUGGCUGGGGCAGUGGCUGCAUAUGGGGCUCCGGCUUAGUUUUAGGUUGUGGCUCCGGCUGGGGCAUCUCAGCGGCAGCACGUCCAUGCUUGCGCGCGAAACGCGCGCCGUGGCCAAGCCCGAAGCCGGCAGCAGCCGCUUCGUCGAAGGCGGUGGCAGCGGCCACUCCUGCCAGAAGCACGGCGAGGAGAAAGCAAGAGAGGCGACGCGUCGCCGCCAUUCCUGCUGCUCCUGCAAGUUAUUAGCCUGCUAACUCUGCGGUGUGUCUUCCUCUCUCUUGCUCUAGAACUGUUGGAUCGUAGUAAUCUCUCUGCUGUGUUGUGUGUGUGUGGAUGACGGGGGUGUGGCCAUGGGUAGGAUUUAUAGCGUGGCCGAGCCAACCAGCUUUGGACGCGUGGAUGGCUGUCUGUCUUGCUGCUUACAGGUUUGGCCUCGGCCGUAUCACCGGGUUGGUAGCAGCUAAUUAAGCCCGUGUUAUUGUUAUUCAACGAAUAGCAGUAGCACGUAACUUUCACUUUUACUUUCUCACGGAUUCGCGUCCAUCUCUUCUCUUGUUCCAACAUAUAUAAUGUAGAUACACGCUGCUGUCCUGCGACUAGGGAUGAAAACGGUCGGAAACGGUAUUUAUUCGGUAAUCAGUUUUUUUGUCGUUUUUCUUUUAUUGUGAUAUAUAAUAUAUAAUACAAAUUUGUAUUCUUGUUUUUA
Molecule: long non-coding RNA, 1895 nt
Filed under: Zea mays
Lineage: Eukaryota; Viridiplantae; Streptophyta; Magnoliopsida; Poales; Poaceae
Description: long non-coding RNA (ZMAY_LNC000311)
Source: RNAcentral